Molecule: ribosomal RNA, 646 nt
Filed under: uncultured Actinomycetes bacterium
Lineage: Bacteria; Bacillati; Actinomycetota; Actinomycetes
Description: uncultured actinobacterium partial 16S ribosomal RNA
Rfam family: Bacterial small subunit ribosomal RNA
Source: RNAcentral
CGACGUCGCAUGCUCCCGGCCGCCAUGGCGGCCGCGGGAAUUCGAUUAGAGUUUGAUCAUGGCUCAGGACGAACGCUGGCGGCGUGCUUAACACAUGCAAGUGGAGCGACGAACCAGGGCUUACCCUGGGGCAGAGCCGCGAACGGGUGAGUAACACGUGGGUAACCUGCCCCGAUGACCGGGACAACUCGAGGAAACUCGGGCUAAUACCGGAUGAAUUCGCGGAACAUAAGUUCUGUGAGAAAAGGUAGCUUCGGCUUCCGCAUUGGGAGGGGCUCGCGGCCCAUUAGCUUGUUGGUGGGGUAACGGCCUACCAAGGCAACGAUGGGUAGCUGGUCUGAGAGGACGAUCAGCCACACUGGGACUGAGACACGGCCCAGACUCCUACGGGAGGCAGCAGUGGGGAAUCUUGCGCAAUGCGCGAAAGCGUGACGCAGCAACGCCGCGUGGGGGAAGACGGCCUUCGGGUUGUAAACCGCUUUUGUCCGGAAAGAAAAGGCACCUCCUAAUACGGGGUGCUCUUGACGGUACCGGAAGAAUAAGCACCGGCUAACUACGUGCCAGCAGCCGCGGUAAUACGAAUCACUAGUGAAUUCGCGGCCGCCUGCAGGUCGACCAUAUGGGAGAGCUCCCACGCGUUGGAUGC